UUGAACGCUGGCGGCAUGCCUUACACCUGCAAGUCGAACGGUAACAGGUCUUCGGAUGCUGACGAGUGGCGAACGGGUGAGUAAUACAUCGGAACGUGCCCAGACGUGGGGGAUAACGAGGCGAAAGCUUUGCUAAUACCGCAUACGAUCUAAGGAUGAAAGCAGGGGACCGCAAGGCCUUGCGCGUUUGGAGCGGCCGAUGGCAGAUUAGGUAGUUGGUGGGAUAAAAGCUUACCAAGCCGACGAUCUGUAGCUGGUCUGAGAGGACGACCAGCCACACUGGGACUGAGACACGGCCCAGACUCCUACGGGAGGCAGCAGUGGGGAAUUUUGGACAAUGGGCGAAAGCCUGAUCCAGCAAUGCCGCGUGCAGGAUGAAGGCCUUCGGGUUGUAAACUGCUUUUGUACGGAACGAAAAGGCUCUGGCUAAUACCUGGGGCACAUGACGGUACCGGAAGAAUAAGCACCGGCUAACUACGUG
This 481-nucleotide ribosomal RNA is filed under the name uncultured bacterium. Its description in RNAcentral is "partial 16S ribosomal RNA". It matches the Rfam family "Bacterial small subunit ribosomal RNA", at positions 30 to 507 of the family's 1533-position model. The record is from RNAcentral.